RNAcentral lists this ribosomal RNA (926 nucleotides) under Asterionellopsis glacialis. RNAcentral's name for it is "partial Bacterial large subunit ribosomal RNA". It matches the Rfam family "Bacterial large subunit ribosomal RNA", at positions 802 to 1831 of the family's 2925-position model. The record is from RNAcentral. Lineage: Eukaryota; Bacillariophyta; Plagiogrammaphyceae; Rhaphoneidales; Asterionellopsidaceae.
GGAUGACUUGUGGCUAGGGGUGAAAGGCCAAUCAAACUUGGAAAUAGCUGGUUCUCUCCGAAAACUAUUUAGGUAGUGCCUCAAGUAUUACCUGCGGGGGUAGAGCACUGUUUAGGCUAGGGGGUCAUGGCGACUUACCAAACCUAUGCAAACUCCGAAUACCGCAGAGUACAGCUUGGGAGACAGAGCACCGGGUGCUAACGUCCGGACUCAAGAGGGAAACAACCCAGACCGCCAGCUAAGGUCCCAAAAUAUUGCUAAGUGGGAAACGAUGUGGGAAGGCAUAGACAGCUAGGAGGUUGGCUUAGAAGCAGCCAUCCUUUAAAGAUAGCGUAACAGCUCACUGGUCUAAAUAAGGGUUCUUGCGCCGAAAAUGUAACGGGGCUAAAGCCAUGCACCGAAACUGAGGGCACUAUUUAUAGUGCGGUAGCAGAGCGUUCUGUAAGCCUGCGAAGGGAUACUCGUGAGAGAUCCUGGAGGUAUCAGAAGUGCAAAUGUUGACAUGAGUAACGAUAAAGAGGGUGAGAGACCCUCUCGCCGAAAGACCAAGGGUUCCUGCUUAAAGUUAAUCUGAGCAGGGUUAGCCGGCUCCUAAGGCGAGGCCGAAAGGCGUAGUCGAUGGGAAUGCAGUUAAUAUUCUGCAGCCUGGUGGUAGUGACGGAUCUCGUAAAUUGUACAUCCUUAUUGGAUUGGUUGUGCAGUGAAGAGGUUCCAGGAAAUAGCUCCACCAUAUAGACCGUACCCCAAACCGACACAGGUCGUCAGGUAGAGAAUACUAAGGCGCUUGAGAGAACUAUGUUGAAGGAACUCGGCAAAUUGCACGCGUAACUUCGGAAGAAGCGUGACCUGUAUUUACGCAAGUAGAUAUAGGUGGCACAGACCAGGGGGUAGCGACUGUUUAUCAAAAACACAGGGCUCUGCGAAGC